AUUGAACGCUGGCGGCAGGCCUAACACAUGCAAGUCGAACGGUAACAGGAAGAAGCUUGCUUCUUUGCUGACGAGUGGCGGACGGGUGAGUAAUGUCUGGGAAACUGCCUGAUGGAGGGGGAUAACUACUGGAAACGGUAGCUAAUACCGCAUAACGUCGCAAGACCAAAGAGGGGGACCUUCGGGCCUCUUGCCAUCGGAUGUGCCCAGAUGGGAUUAGCUAGUAGGUGGGGUAACGGCUCACCUAGGCGACGAUCCCUAGCUGGUCUGAGAGGAUGACGAGCCACACUGAAAAUAGAACCGGGUCAAGACUCGAAGGGGAGGCAGCGGGGGGAAAUUUUGGCAAAAGGGGGAAAGCCGGAGGCAGCAAUGCCGGGUUGAUAAAGAAGGCUUUCGGGUUGAAAAGUACUUUCAGCGGGGAGAAAGGGGGUAAAUUUAAACCUUUUGGCAUUGACGGUUACCGGCAAAAAAACCCCGGGUAAACCCGGG
This 489-nucleotide ribosomal RNA is filed under the name uncultured bacterium. RNAcentral describes it as "partial 16S ribosomal RNA". It matches the Rfam family "Bacterial small subunit ribosomal RNA", at positions 29 to 507 of the family's 1533-position model. The record is from RNAcentral.